This 478-nucleotide ribosomal RNA is filed under the name uncultured bacterium. RNAcentral describes it as "partial 16S ribosomal RNA". It matches the Rfam family "Bacterial small subunit ribosomal RNA", at positions 28 to 507 of the family's 1533-position model. The record is from RNAcentral.
GAUGAACGCUGGCGGCGUGCCUAACACAUGCAAGUCGAACGGAGUCCAGCCUUUAAGACCGUCCUGGCGAAGCGGGGAAGACUGUGUGGCGGACGUGUGAGUAACACGUGGGCAACCUGGCUCAUAGAGGCUGGUAACAGUGAGAAAUUUCUGCUAAUACCGCAUAAGCACACACUGCAGCAUUGCAGGGGGGGGGAAGGGAAUCGGGAUGAGAUGGAGCUGCGUAUGAUUAGGCAGUUGGCAGGGUAAGAGCAUACCAAAGCGACGAUCAGUAGCCGGACGGAGAGCAGGAACAGUCACACUGGGACAGAGACCAGACUCAAACUCGUGCGAGAGGCAGCAGAGGGGGAUAUUGGACAAUGGGGCGAACGCUGAUGCAGCGACGGCGGGUGAGUGAAGAAGUAUUUGUGUAUGUAAAGCUCUAUUAGCAGAGAAGAUAAUGACAGUAGUUGAAUAAGAAGCCCCGGCUAACUACGUG